Molecule: ribosomal RNA, 253 nt
Filed under: uncultured Gemmata sp.
Lineage: Bacteria; Pseudomonadati; Planctomycetota; Planctomycetia; Gemmatales; Gemmataceae
Description: partial 16S ribosomal RNA
Rfam family: Bacterial small subunit ribosomal RNA
Source: RNAcentral
GACGAACCGAGCAAACGUUAUUCGGAAUCACUGGGCUUAAAGGGCGCGUAGGCGGAGAGUCAAGUCCGUGGUGAAAUCCCCCAGCUCAACUGGGGAACUGCCGCGGAUACUGGCCCUCUCGAGGGGUGUAGGGGCAUGUGGAACUCAGGGUGGAGCGGUGAAAUGCGUAGAGAUCCUGAGGAACGCCGGUGGCGAAAGCGACGUGCUGGACACCUUCUGACGCUGAGGCGCGAAAGCCAGGGGAGCAAACGGG